AGAGGAAGUGGUGGCUAUGAGUCAGCAUGAGUCAUCUCGUUCCAAUGAGAAUGAAGGCUGAGGUGUGCGCCUUUUUUUUUUUUCCUUCUUAGUCGUGUGUACAUCAUUGGGAAUGGAGGGAAAUAAAUGACUGGAUGGUCGCUGCUUUUUAAGUUUCAAAUUGACAUUCCAGACAAGCGGUGCCUGAGCCCGUGCCUGUCUUCAGAUCUUCACAGCACAGUUCCUGGGAAGGUGGAGCCACCAGCCUCUCCCUGACAAGCAAAGUGGAUCAGCAAAGGCUGCAGUCACCAGCAUCUUUUCCAACCUUAAUGAACUGUAUCCUCAAAAGAACACUAUCAGACUGGCUCUGCCGACUUCCAGUUCUGGAACAAGAUGGUUAAACUCAUUUUUCCCUGCUCUGCUCCUCUAAAUACAACUAAGUACCUUGGAAACUAUUCAGCAGACAAUGAUAAAGGGCUCUGAAAGCUAGAAGAAAAGGUGUACUUGCAAGAAACCUCAGGACUUGAGUAACAGCAACAUGCUCACCAAGCUCCUGUAUCUACUGGAAAAUGGAAGUCCAGCCUUACCAACUUGUGAACCUUGUCUGAAGGGAGCCAGGGCCUGCCAAUGGAACCACCUCCAGGAGCUGCAACUGCUGUUGUCAUUAAUACCAUUGUGUCUAUUUUUUGAGAGAGAUAAACUUUUCAUGGUGUUACAUUUUGGAAAAAAAAAAAAAAGACUAGGUGAACAGUCAGGUAGGAAAGCAGCAUAACAGUCCCUUAAAUUCUGAUCAUGUAGGACAUUCUUCUUUGCCCUGGGCCUGGGAAAAUGCAGCAUGUUCCAGAGCAAAAGUCCUAAUGAGGGGAACUAAACCAGUGGGACCCAAACCAAUGUCCUGGCUCACUGAGGACCCGUUAGAACCAAAUCUCUGGGUGUGGACAGGCUCCCAUACUUUUCAAAAAUUCCCCUGAUGACUAAUGAACAACCAGAGGUAAGAACCAGUGGCCCAGAGGAAUAACCAGCCCAGCUGUUGUACGAGCUCGCUAAGCUGGCUCAGGUCAAUGUUGAAUUCUCUGCUAGGCAGCUCCUCAUAAGAACUGGCAGAGAUGGUUCUUACACAACAACAGGUGACAACUCCAGACUCUGCCGGAAGUUCCAGGAUCUGGGUUCCCGGACAAUGCAUGACACUCAGUCCAGCAUUGCAGGUGGAAGAGCGACGGUGAAAAGACCAAAGUCAAUUAAAAUGUGUUAACCAAAACAGGAAACAUGAGUGAGGUGAUUGAGAGUGUGUUUAACUUAGAUGUGUGAUUUUAUCAAUACUUUCAUUGUUCAAAAACUCUUAUUUUUUAAAGAUAUUUUCAAAACAAAUCCAAACUUUACUUUUCAUUCCAAAUUCGUGUUCCGUCUAUACUUGCAUUUGGGGAAAGAUUGAAACAAAACACAAAUACUUUGUA
Molecule: long non-coding RNA, 1433 nt
Filed under: Homo sapiens (human)
Lineage: Eukaryota; Metazoa; Chordata; Mammalia; Primates; Hominidae
Description: HSALNT0304984
Source: RNAcentral